UACGAAGGGGGCUAGCGUUGCUCGGAAUCACUGGGCGUAAAGCGCACGUAGGCGGCUUUUUAAGUCAGGGGUGAAAUCCUGGAGCUCAACUCCAGAACUGCCUUUGAUACUGGGAGCUCGAGUCCGGGAGAGGUGAGUGGAACUGCGAGUGUAGAGGUGAAAUUCGUAGAUAUUCGCAAGAACACCAGUGGCGAAGGCGGCUCACUGGCCCGGUACUGACGCUGAGGUGCGAAAGCGUGGGGAGCAAACAGG
This 252-nucleotide ribosomal RNA is filed under the name uncultured bacterium. Its description in RNAcentral is "partial 16S ribosomal RNA". It matches the Rfam family "Bacterial small subunit ribosomal RNA", at positions 524 to 776 of the family's 1533-position model. The record is from RNAcentral.